Molecule: ribosomal RNA, 492 nt
Filed under: uncultured bacterium
Lineage: Bacteria
Description: partial 16S ribosomal RNA
Rfam family: Bacterial small subunit ribosomal RNA
Source: RNAcentral
AGUGAACGCUGGCGGUAGGCCUAACACAUGCAAGUCGAACGGCAGCACAGUAAGAGCUUGCUCUUACGGGUGGCGAGUGGCGGACGGGUGAGGAAUACAUCGGAAUCUACUUUUUCGUGGGGGAUAACGUAGGGAAACUUACGCUAAUACCGCAUACGACCUACGGGUGAAAGCAGGGGAUCUUCGGACCUUGCGCGAUUGAAUGAGCCGAUGUCGGAUUAGCUAGUUGGCGGGGUAAAGGCCCACCAAGGCGACGAUCCGUAGCUGGUCUGAGAGGAUGAUCAGCCAAACUGGAACUGAGACACGGUCCAGACUCCUACGGGAGGCAGCAGUGGGGAAUAUUGGACAAUGGGCGGAAGCCUGAUCCAGCCAUACCGCGUGGGUGAAGAAGGCCUUCGGGUUGUAAAGCCCUUUUGUUGGGAAAGAAAAGCAGCAGGUUAAUACCACGCUGUUCUGACGGUACCCAAAGAAUAAGCACCGGCUAACUUCGUG